AUGGGUCAUGUUCAUGUUUCUGUCAUUGCAGCUGACGAAGGGAGGUAUAGGAACGAAAAGCAAGCUAUCAGCACUAACAUUCUAGGUGUUGUUGACUGGAACAUGAAUUUUCUUUAUGUUUUACCUAGCUGGGAGGGAUCUACAUCCGAAUCCCAAGUGUUGCGUGAUGCAAUGAGAAACGAUCAUCAAGAUGCAUUUGUUAUACCUCAUGGAAAAUACUACUUAGUGGAUGCUGGAUACACCAAUGGACCUAGCUUUCUGGCUCCCUUUAGAUCGACUAGGUACUCAUACGUCUCCGUCGUAUCUAUAAUUUUUUAUUGUUCCAUGCCAAUAUUAUUCAACUUUCAUAUAUUUUUUGGCAACUUUUUAUACUAUUUUUGGAAACUAACAUAUUGA
Molecule: ribosomal RNA, 396 nt
Filed under: Triticum aestivum (bread wheat)
Lineage: Eukaryota; Viridiplantae; Streptophyta; Magnoliopsida; Poales; Poaceae
Description: partial small subunit ribosomal RNA
Source: RNAcentral